This 1355-nucleotide ribosomal RNA is filed under the name Kitasatospora aureofaciens. Its description in RNAcentral is "bacterial SSU rRNA". It matches the Rfam family "Bacterial small subunit ribosomal RNA", at positions 79 to 1440 of the family's 1533-position model. The record is from RNAcentral. Lineage: Bacteria; Bacillati; Actinomycetota; Actinomycetes; Kitasatosporales; Streptomycetaceae.
UUCGGGUGGGGAUUAGUGGCGAACGGGUGAGUAACACGUGGGCAAUCUGCCCUGCACUCUGGGACAAGCCCUGGAAACGGGGUCUAAUACCGUAUACUGAACCACUUGGGCAUCCUGGUGGUUCGAAAGCUCCGGCGGUGCAGGAUGAGCCCGCGGCCUAUCAGCUUGUUGGUGAGGUAACGGCUCACCAAGGCGACGACGGGUAGCCGGCCUGAGAGGGCGACCGGCCACACUGGGACUGAGACACGGCCCAGACUCCUACGGGAGGCAGCAGUGGGGAAUAUUGCACAAUGGGCGAAAGCCUGAUGCAGCGACGCCGCGUGAGGGAUGACGGCCUUCGGGUUGUAAACCUCUUUCAGCAGGGAAGAAGCGAGAGUGACGGUACCUGCAGAAGAAGCGCCGGCUAACUACGUGCCAGCAGCCGCGGUCAUACGUAGGGCGCGAGCGUUGUCCGGAAUUAUUGGGCGUAAAGAGCUCGUAGGCGGCUUGUCGCGUCGGUUGUGAAAGCCCGGGGCUUAACCCCGGGUCUGCAGUCGAUACGGGCAGGCUAGAGUUCGGUAGGGGAGAUCGGAAUUCCUGGUGUAGCGGUGAAAUGCGCAGAUAUCAGGAGGAACACCGGUGGCGAAGGCGGAUCUCUGGGCCGAUACUGACGCUGAGGAGCGAAAGCGUGGGGAGCGAACAGGAUUAGAUACCCUGGUAGUCCACGCCGUAAACGGUGGGCACUCGGUGUGGGCGACAUUCCACGUCGUCCGUGCCGCAGCUAACGCAUUAAGUGCCCCGCCUGGGGAGUACGGCCGCAAGGGUACAACUCAAAGGAAUUGACGGGGGCCCGCACAAGCGGCGGAGCAUGUGGCUUAAUUCGACGCAACGCGAAGAACCUUACCAAGGCUUGACAUACACCGGAAAGCAUCAGAGAUGGUGCCCCCCUUGUGGUCGGUGUACAGGUGGUGCAUGGCUGUCGUCAGCUCGUGUCGUGAGAUGUUGGGUUAAGUCCCGCAACGAGCGCAACCCUUGUCCCGUGUUGCCAGCAAGCCAUUCGGGGUGUUGGGGACUCACGGGAGACCGCCGGGGUCAACUCGGAGGAAGGUGGGGACGACUUCAAGUCAUCAUGCCCCUUAUGUCUUGGGCUGCACACGUGCUACAAUGGCCGGUACAAUGAGCUGCGAUACCGCGAGGUGGAGCGAAUCUCAAAAAGCCGGUCUCAGUUCGGAUUGGGGUCUGCAACUCGACCCCAUGAAGUCGGAGUCGCUAGUAAUCGCAGAUCAGCAUUGCUGCGGUGAAUACGUUCCCGGGCCUUGUACACACCGCCCGUCACGUCACGAAAGUCGGUAACACCCGAAGCCGGUGGCCCAACC